UACGAGGGGAGCAAGCGUUGUUCGGAUUUACUGGGCGUAAAGGGCGCGUAGGCGGCGUGACAAGUCACUUGUGAAAUCUCCGGGCUUAACUCGGAACGGUCAAGUGAAACUGUCGUGCUAGAGUACAGAAGGGGCAACUGGAAUUCUCGGUGUAGCGGUGAAAUGCGUAGAUAUCUGGAGGAACACCGGUGGCGAAGGCGGCAUCCUGGACCAACACUGACGCUGAGGAGCGAAAGCCAGGGGAGCAAACGGG
This 253-nucleotide ribosomal RNA is filed under the name uncultured prokaryote. RNAcentral's name for it is "partial 16S ribosomal RNA". It matches the Rfam family "Bacterial small subunit ribosomal RNA", at positions 524 to 776 of the family's 1533-position model. The record is from RNAcentral.